This 289-nucleotide ribosomal RNA is filed under the name uncultured bacterium. RNAcentral's name for it is "partial 16S ribosomal RNA". It matches the Rfam family "Bacterial small subunit ribosomal RNA", at positions 335 to 616 of the family's 1533-position model. The record is from RNAcentral.
ACUCCUACGGGAGGCAGCAGUGGGGAAGUAUUCACAAGGGCGGCAAGCCUGAUGCAGCCAUGCCGCGUGUGUGAAGAAGGCCUUCGGGUUGUAAAAGCACUUUCAGUCGUGAGGAAGGUGGUGUAGUUAAUAGCUGCAUUAUUUGACGUUAGCGACAGAAGAAGCACCGGCUAACUCCGUGCCAGCAGCCGCGGUAAUACGGAGGGUGCGAGCGUUAAUCGGAAUUACUGGGCGUAAAGCGCAUGCAGGUGGUUUGUUAAGUCAGAUGUGAAAGCCCGGGCUCAAGCCU